AUUGAACGCUGGCGGCAUGCCUUACACAUGCAAGUCGAACGGCAGCACGGGAGCAAUCCUGGUGGCGAGUGGCGAACGGGUGAGUAAUAUAUCGGAACGUGCCCAGUAGUGGGGGAUAACUGCUCGAAAGAGCAGCUAAUACCGCAUACGACCUGAGGGUGAAAGGGGGGGAUCGCAAGACCUCUCGCUAUUGGAGCGGCCGAUAUCAGAUUAGCUAGUUGGUGGGGUAAAGGCCUACCAAGGCAACGAUCUGUAGUUGGUCUGAGAGGACGACCAGCCACACUGGGACUGAGACACGGCCCAGACUCCUACGGGAGGCAGCAGUGGGGAAUUUUGGACAAUGGGCGCAAGCCUGAUCCAGCAAUGCCGCGUGCAGGAAGAAGGCCUUCGGGUUGUAAACUGCUUUUGUCAGGGAAGAAAUCCUCUAGGUUGAUACCCUUGGGGGGAUGACGGUACCUGAAGAAUAAGCACCAGCUAACUACGUGCCAGCCGCCGCGGUAA
Molecule: ribosomal RNA, 501 nt
Filed under: uncultured bacterium
Lineage: Bacteria
Description: partial 16S ribosomal RNA
Rfam family: Bacterial small subunit ribosomal RNA
Source: RNAcentral